UACGGAGGGUGCAAGCGUUAUCCGGAUUCACUGGGUUUAAAGGGUGCGUAGGUGGGCAGGUAAGUCAGUGGUGAAAUCCUUGAGCUUAACUCGAGAACUGCCAUUGAUACUAUCUGUCUUGAAUGUUGUGGAGGUGAGCGGAAUAUGUCAUGUAGCGGUGAAAUGCUUAGAUAUGACAUAGAACAUCUAUUGCGAAGGCAGCUCACUACGCAAAUAUUGACACUGAGGCACGAAAGCGUGGGGAUCAAACAGG
Molecule: non-coding RNA, 253 nt
Filed under: uncultured bacterium
Lineage: Bacteria
Also listed under: 1 other name
Description: partial 16S ribosomal RNA
Rfam family: Bacterial small subunit ribosomal RNA
Source: RNAcentral